UACGGAAGGUCCAGGCGUUAUCCGGAUUUAUUGGGUUUAAAGGGAGCGCAGGCGGACCUUUAAGUCAGCUGUGAAAUACGGCGGCUCAACCGUCGAACUGCAGUUGAUACUGGAGGUCUUGAGUGUACACAGGGAUACUGGAAUUCAUGGUGUAGCGGUGAAAUGCUCAGAUAUCAUGAAGAACUCCGAUCGCGAAGGCAGGUAUCCGGGGUGCAACUGACGCUGAGGCUCGAAAGUGCGGGUAUCAAACAGG
This 253-nucleotide ribosomal RNA is filed under the name Prevotellamassilia timonensis. Its description in RNAcentral is "partial 16S ribosomal RNA". It matches the Rfam family "Bacterial small subunit ribosomal RNA", at positions 524 to 776 of the family's 1533-position model. The record is from RNAcentral. Lineage: Bacteria; Pseudomonadati; Bacteroidota; Bacteroidia; Bacteroidales; Prevotellaceae.